This 695-nucleotide ribosomal RNA is filed under the name uncultured soil bacterium. RNAcentral describes it as "bacterial SSU rRNA". It matches the Rfam family "Bacterial small subunit ribosomal RNA", at positions 28 to 769 of the family's 1533-position model. The record is from RNAcentral.
AGCGAACGCUGGCGGCAGGCCUAAAACAUGCAAGUCGAACGCCGUAGCAAUACGGAGUGGCAGACGGGUGAGUAACACGUGGGAACGUACCGUUUGGUUCGGAACAACACAGGGAAACUUGUGCUAAUACCGGAUAAGCCCUUACGGGGAAAGAUUUAUCGCCGAAGGAUCGGCCCGCGUCUGAUUAGCUAGUUGGUGAGGUAACGGCUCACCAAGGCUACGAUCAGUAGCUGGUCUGAGAGGAUGAUCAGCCACACUGGGACUGAGACACGGCCCAGACUCCUACGGGAGGCAGCAGUUAGGAAUCUUGGACAAUGGGCGCAAGCCUGAUCCAGCCAUGCCGCGUGAGUGAUGAAGGCCUUAGGGUUGUAAAGCUCUUUCAGCGGGGAAGAUAAUGACGGUACCCGCAGAAGAAGCCCCGGCUAACUUCGUGCCAGCAGCCGCGGUAAUACGAAGGGGGCUAGCGUUGCUCGGAAUCACUGGGCGUAAAGCGCACGUAGGCGGCUUUCUAAGUCAGGGGUGAAAUCCUGGCGCUCAACUCCAGAACUGCCCUUGAUACUGGAGAGCUUGAGUCUGGGAGAGGUGAGUGGAACUCCGAGUGUAGAGGUGAAAUUCGUAGAUAUUCGGAAGAACACCAGUGGCGAAGGCGGCUCACUGGCCCGGUACUGACGCUGAGGUGCGAAAGCGUGGGGAGC